RNAcentral lists this ribosomal RNA (441 nucleotides) under Capnocytophaga sp. oral taxon 338. RNAcentral describes it as "bacterial SSU rRNA". It matches the Rfam family "Bacterial small subunit ribosomal RNA", at positions 28 to 474 of the family's 1533-position model. The record is from RNAcentral. Lineage: Bacteria; Pseudomonadati; Bacteroidota; Flavobacteriia; Flavobacteriales; Flavobacteriaceae.
GAUGAACGCUAGCGGCAGGCCUAACACAUGCAAGUCGAGGGAGAAGCCCUUCGGGGCAGAAACCGGCGCACGGGUGCGUAACGGUAUGCAACCUACCUUUCACAGGGGGAUAGCCCGGAGAAAUUUGGAUUAAUAUCCCAUAAUAUUGUUGGAUGGCAUCAUUUGGCAAUUAAAGUUACGAUGGUGGAAGAUGGGCAUGCGUCCUAUUAGCUAGUUGGCGAGGUAACGGCUCGCCAAGGCGACGAUAGGUAGGGGUCCUGAGAGGGAGAUCCCCCACACUGGUACUGAGACAGGGACCAGACUCCUACGGGAGGCAGCAGUGAGGAAUAUUGGUCAAUGGUCGGAAGACUGAACCAGCCAUGCCGCGUGCAGGAAGGCGGCCUUAUGGGUUGUAAACUGCUUUUAUAUGGGAAGAAUAAGGGGUACGUGUACUUGAUGACG